Molecule: long non-coding RNA, 1745 nt
Filed under: Homo sapiens (human)
Lineage: Eukaryota; Metazoa; Chordata; Mammalia; Primates; Hominidae
Description: non-protein coding MIR503HG:20
Source: RNAcentral
CCCCCUCGUGGGGAAGGUAGAAGGUGGGGUCUGCCGGACGCGUGUUCCUGCCACCAGGUGCCCGCUCCCCGCGAGGCCGGCUCAGGAGCAGGUAGAAUGUAAACAAUUGAAAAAAAUCCCUUCCCAAUCAGAAUACCACCCACAGGACAACGAAGAAAACCUAUCUUCAGUCCCCACCCACGAAAUGCUGGGGGGUGGGGAGGACUGGAAAAGGAGUAAGGGGAGAGGAAGGGUGAGCAGCUGCAAGAAGUCUUUACACCUCUCUGCGGUUCCUGGUAAACGCGCUCAUGUCCUGGGUAUGGAAGGGACUUAAGAAUUCAGGAAAGAUCAAAAUAACGGGCCUCUUCCCCACUCCCUCGCCCUCCCUUCCCCGCUGCUGGGGGGUUAGGGAGGCUCCGUGGAGCUCCAGCACUCUAGAAGGAUCGGGUGAGGCGCGAGGCCUUGCGGGCGGGUGAACCCAAGGUGGGGUGGAAGGCUCCAACCCGCCCAAUCUGAGCCCGAGGCCUGCUGAGAAGCAUGGGGGCCUUGGGAUAGUUCCAGAAUGAGGAUGUGCGUUUCUAGCUGCUUUGCGCCCUCCUCCCCCAAAAAUCUGCUACCACAAUUCCAACCCGGCGGCACGCCCCCAAGACUCCUUUGUCGCCCCAGGGGCGGGACCUGAGCUGUCGAUUUCAGGAGCCCUUCGUGACUUCAAAAGUCCUGGGCACUGUUGCUCAUGAGUGCUGCACAACUGUCGCCCUCUAAAGCCACCUCCAUCCCUCACUGGGCUGGCCUCCUGAGCCUUCGGUGAGGAAACGGGGUUCCGAGUUGCCCGCCUGAGAGCUUAACAGUCUGACUAGAAAAGGGCUAAUUCGCUUUCUGUGCAAAUCUCUUGAGCUAAUUAUUUAAUCUGAAACAUGGACAGGUAAAGGACCAUUGGGCCGGCGGGGACCCUCAGGCUCCCGGGGCGCCGCCCACCAGCCCGACCCGGCGGCCUAGAAAUCCCCAUUCUGCUCCCGCCUCGCCCCGGCCGGCCAGCGCAGGGCCCCUCAGGCCCGCAAUCUCCAGGCUCAAACGGCGAACAGGUCCCCGCAUCCGCCUGCCUUUGCACUUGGGGGUGGGAGAGCCACCUUGUGACGCCCCUUCUGCCUCUCACCAGCUUCCCCCUUUCUCCCCGUCCUGUACGGUUCCCCCUGGAGCCAGAAGGAAGCCCGGUGCCAGCCAGCCUUCCUGAAAGACCAAGCCCGCGCCAUCCGGCUUCCUCCAGUGGACGCCUGCAGGACCCAGGUGAGACACGGAACCGGUUGGGGACGCGAGCCAGGGAUCCUGACCGGUUGGGGGCGGCGAGCAAGGGAUCCUGACUUGGGGGCGUUGCCUCCCGGAAUCCAAGCGGCCUUUUGCCCGGGUCUCCCGAGAUGCAUCGAAAUUGAGCUCGUCCACACAGCCCCCUGACUGCGUGAUGCCCUUUUCUGACUUAAAACAUUCCUUGUACCUUUAUUUACACGAUCCAAGUUGCAGUGUGCCUAGAUUUUCCUCCAAGGACAAAAAUGUGAAUAAAGCAAUAUUUUAGCCAAACAUUUCUGUGUCAAUUAAGAAGAUUGCAAUUCGUUCCAGACUAUAAAUUCUCUUUAACAACUCCCUAAGGUAUUCUUUUAAAUUGUUUUUCAGCGUUGCUAAAUGUGCAUCAUAAUGUGUGGGAGACUUGUAUAAAGUGAAUCAAUUUAUACUCAGCUGAUUAAUUGACCCGAUGUUACCACCUCCAAGGAGGC